Molecule: ribosomal RNA, 253 nt
Filed under: uncultured bacterium
Lineage: Bacteria
Description: partial 16S ribosomal RNA
Rfam family: Bacterial small subunit ribosomal RNA
Source: RNAcentral
UACGUAGGGUGCGAGCGUUAAUCGGAAUUACUGGGCGUAAAGUGUGCGCAGGCGGCCGAGCAAGUCGAGUGUGAAAGCCCCGAGCUUAACUUGGGAAUUGCGCUCGAAACUACUUGGCUGGAGUGUGGCAGAGGAAGGUGGAAUUCCAGGUGUAGCGGUGAAAUGCGUAGAGAUCUGGGGGAACACCGAUGGCGAAGGCAGCCUUCUGGGCCAACACUGACGCUCAUGCACGAAAGCGUGGGGAGCAAACAGG